This 465-nucleotide ribosomal RNA is filed under the name Vreelandella stevensii. RNAcentral's name for it is "partial 16S ribosomal RNA". It matches the Rfam family "Bacterial small subunit ribosomal RNA", at positions 338 to 795 of the family's 1533-position model. Lineage: Bacteria; Pseudomonadati; Pseudomonadota; Gammaproteobacteria; Oceanospirillales; Halomonadaceae. The record is from RNAcentral.
CCUACGGGUGGCUGCAGUGGGGAAUAUUGGACAAUGGGGGCAACCCUGAUCCAGCCAUGCCGCGUGUGUGAAGAAGGCCCUCGGGUUGUAAAACACUUUCAGUGAGGAAGAACGCCUGGUGGUUAAUACCCAUCAGGAAAGACAUCACUCACAGAAGAAGCACCGGCUAACUCCGUGCCAGCAGCCGCGGUAAUACGGAGGGUGCGAGCGUUAAUCGGAAUUACUGGGCGUAAAGCGCGCGUAGGUGGCUUGAUAAGCCGGUUGUGAAAGCCCCGGGCUCAACCUGGGAACGGCAUCCGGAACUGUCAAGCUAGAGUGCAGGAGAGGAAGGUAGAAUUCCCGGUGUAGCGGUGAAAUGCGUAGAGAUCGGGAGGAAUACCAGUGGCGAAGGCGGCCUUCUGGACUGACACUGACACUGAGGUGCGAAAGCGUGGGUAGCAAACAGGAUUAGAUACCCGUGUAGUC